UAGGGAAUCUUCGGCAAUGGACGAAAGUCUGACCGAGCAACGCCGCGUGAGUGAAGAAGGUUUUCGGAUCGUAAAACUCUGUUGUUAGAGAAGAACAAGGACGUUAGUAACUGAACGUCCCCUGACGGUAUCUAACCAGAAAGCCACGGCUAACUACGUGCCAGCAGCCGCGGUAAUACGUAGGUGGCAAGCGUUGUCCGGAUUUAUUGGGCGUAAAGCGAGCGCAGGCGGUUUCUUAAGUCUGA
RNAcentral lists this ribosomal RNA (245 nucleotides) under uncultured bacterium. RNAcentral describes it as "partial 16S ribosomal RNA". It matches the Rfam family "Bacterial small subunit ribosomal RNA", at positions 355 to 592 of the family's 1533-position model. The record is from RNAcentral.